GAGAGAUCUGGGUAUCGACUCUGACGUUCCCUAUUCACUUUUCAGAUGUAGCGCAACAGCAGAAGACUACGGAACAAUUGUUCGGACUAACUUUGAUCGAAAACCACUAAAUGAAUGUCUUAUAUUGCUAUAUUUUUUAAGAUGUGUGGGUUUUAUUUCGACUUCGACGAUAUUGUUAUCGGAAUUUUUUUUCGGUUCAAGCGAAGUUAUUAGCAGUUGAAAGCAAAGCUCGCGAAUAGCCUAUAGUAAUAGUCUAGCCGAUAACUAAAUGGGAUAAUCUCAUCUUGUGGUUCAAUUAUAAUUUAAAGCUGAUUUCAAGGAGAAUGAGUAGAGAUUUACUUGGAUUUUUUUCGUCCAGGAGACGGAGCAGGCAUGGAAUUCCAAUUGCUGCAUGCGCUAGUCUGGAAAAUGGAAGUCCCCGCCUCCGUAUGCAGAGCGUGUGUCAUUGCUGUGACUGGAUCCGACACCACUACGGUCACUUGAGCGUUCAGGGGCGAAGCUUCGGGGCGUGCCCAAGGACUGUGAUAGCACAGCCCCAACACCAGCCUCGGACGCGUCCACCUCCACUAUGAAUGCCAAAGAGGGGUCAGGAUGCGCCAAUACGUGAGCAUCGGUAAACAACGCCUUCAGACGACCAAACGCCCAGUCCGCCGACCACCGCAAGCGCACAGGUCCCCCCUUCACCAGUGAGGUAUCGGGAGCAGCCACCUAACCAAAACCCCGGAUAAACCUCUGGUAGUAAUUGGCAAACCCUAAAAACCGCUGCACCUCCUUUACUGUGGUCGGAGUCAGCCUAUUACGCACGGCCGCAAUGCGAUGAGUGGUAGCGGUUACCUGAACCCCACUGUGAGGGAAUUUAGACCUCUGUAGUCUAUACACGGACGCAGACCUCAAGCCUUCUUCUUCACAAAAAAAGAAACUCAAGGAGGCGGGUGAAGUGGAGGGCCGAAUGUACCCCUGUCCCAGAGAUUCGGUGACAUAUGUCUCCAUAGCCACCGUCUCAUCCUGUGACAGGGGAUACACGUGACUCCUGGGAAGUGCGGCGUUCAUCUGGAGGUUUAUCGCACAAUCCCCUCGUCGAUGAUAUGUUAAUUGGGUCGACCUCUUUUCACAGUUAGCGAUAGCCAAAUCGGCAUAUUCGGGGGAAUGCGCAUGGUGGAGACUUGGUCCGGACUCUCCACCGUCAUCACACCGAUGAAAACUCCCACACACCUACCUGAGCACUCCUAUAACCAUCCCUCAUGGGCCCCCUGUUUCCACAAAAUUUUAGGAUUGUGAUAAGCCAACCAGGGAAUCCCCAGCACCGCUGGAAACGCAGGAGAAUCAACGAGGAAGAGACUAAUCCGCUCCUCAUGACCCCCCUUCGUCACCAUGUCCAGUGGAACCGUGGCCUCCCUGACCAGAGCCCUGACCCUAAUGGUAGACUAUCUAGAGCGUGCACGGGGAAGGGUUGGUCCAUCUGAACCAAGGGAAUCCCUAACUUAAGCGCAAACCCACGGUCCAUAAAACCUCCCGCUGCGCCUGAAUCUACUAGCGCCUUAUGCUGGAAAUGAGGGGAAAACUCAAGAAAGGAAAUCAACACAUACAAAUGACAAACAGGGAGCACUGGGUGAGCCUGGUGCUGACUCACCUGAGGUGUCCGAGCAGUGCUCUGCCUGGCCUCUUGACUCCCAGACAAGCUCCUCCAACACCGGUCAGAAGUUUGCCCUCUCCGACAACAACUGGUGCAGGAGGAGAUGUCACGCUCUGACCGUAGAUUGCUUUGUAUGUUUCUAUUUUUAGUUUGGUCAGGGUGUGAUGUGGGUGGGUAUUCUAUGUUGUAGGUCUAGGUUUUCUUUUUCUAUGUGUUUGGCCUGGUAUGGUUCUCAAUCAGAGGCAGCUGUCUAUCGUUGUCUCUGAUUGAGAACAAUACUUAGGUAGCCUGUUUUCCCAUUUUGAUUUGUGGGUGAUUAUUUUCUGUUUCAGUGUUUUCACCAUACGGGACUGUUUCGGUUUUCCUUUAUUAUUUUGUUUGUUUGUAUUCAGUGUUCAGUUUAUUAAAGGCAUCAUGAACACGUACUACGCUGCGCUUUGGUCUACUCCUUCUUCCACCAACGACAACCGUUACAGGAGGCUCCUCCUCCAGUCGCCCUAGCUGCAUCACCCCCUAACU
Long non-coding RNA from Oncorhynchus tshawytscha (Chinook salmon), 2152 nucleotides. Lineage: Eukaryota; Metazoa; Chordata; Actinopteri; Salmoniformes; Salmonidae. The record is from Ensembl.